UGUACUGGUAAUCAAGCUACUCUCCUUCCCUGCUUUGCUCUCGCGUUCCCCGAACAAGCAGGUCUCCUUGCCUGCGGUUUGCUGGGUGGUUCGGGGAACGGGAGAGCAAACCGCGGCGAAGCUACUCUCCUUCCCCGGUUUGCUCUCGCGUUCCCCCAACAAGCAGGAUGAAUCCGCCCUGUUACAAUGGAGACUUUUCUAAAAACCACCUCAUGGGUCACUGUUUUAGGAAAGGU
This is a long non-coding RNA of Gopherus flavomarginatus (Mexican gopher tortoise), 236 nucleotides long. RefSeq lists it as uncharacterized. NCBI's taxonomy places the organism in Eukaryota, Metazoa, Chordata, Testudines, Testudinidae. The transcript is spliced from 2 exons. The record is from RefSeq and is a predicted model, not a curated record.